This 555-nucleotide ribosomal RNA is filed under the name Salmonella enterica subsp. enterica serovar Typhi. RNAcentral's name for it is "bacterial SSU rRNA". It matches the Rfam family "Bacterial small subunit ribosomal RNA", at positions 902 to 1457 of the family's 1533-position model. Lineage: Bacteria; Pseudomonadati; Pseudomonadota; Gammaproteobacteria; Enterobacterales; Enterobacteriaceae. RNAcentral also lists the same sequence under 1 other name. The record is from RNAcentral.
CAAAUGAAUUGACGGGGGCCCGCACAAGCGGUGGAGCAUGUGGUUUAAUUCGAUGCAACGCGAAGAACCUUACCUGGUCUUGACAUCCACAGAACUUUCCAGAGAUGGAUUGGUGCCUUCGGGAACUGUGAGACAGGUGCUGCAUGGCUGUCGUCAGCUCGUGUUGUGAAAUGUUGGGUUAAGUCCCGCAACGAGCGCAACCCUUAUCCUUUGUUGCCAGCGGUCCGGCCGGGAACUCAAAGGAGACUGCCAGUGAUAAACUGGAGGAAGGUGGGGAUGACGUCAAGUCAUCAUGGCCCUUACGACCAGGGCUACACACGUGCUACAAUGGCGCAUACAAAGAGAAGCGACCUCGCGAGAGCAAGCGGACCUCAUAAAGUGCGUCGUAGUCCGGAUUGGAGUCUGCAACUCGACUCCAUGAAGUCGGAAUCGCUAGUAAUCGUGGAUCAGAAUGCCACGGUGAAUACGUUCCCGGGCCUUGUACACACCGCCCGUCACACCAUGGGAGUGGGUUGCAAAAGAAGUAGGUAGCUUAACCUUCGGGGGGGCGCUUAC